Molecule: unclassified non-coding RNA, 378 nt
Filed under: plant metagenome
Description: partial contains 5.8S ribosomal RNA, internal transcribed spacer 2, and large subunit ribosomal RNA
Rfam family: 5.8S ribosomal RNA (bases 1-105)
Source: RNAcentral
GAAAUGCGAUAAGUAAUGUGAAUUGCAGAAUUCAGUGAAUCAUCGAAUCUUUGAACGCACCUUGCGCUCCUUGGUAUUCCUUGGAGCAUGCCUGUUUGAGUAUCAUGAAAUCUUCAAAGUAAAUCUUUUGUUAACUCAAUUGGUUUCUACUUUGGUAUUGGAGGUCUUUGCAGCUUCACACCUGCUCCUCUUUGUUCAUUAGCUGGAUCUCAGUGUUAUGCUUGGUUCCACUCGGCGUGAUAAGUUAUCUAUCGCUGAGGACACUGUAAAAGGUGGCCAAGGUAAAUGCAGAUGAACCGCUUCUAAUAGUCCAUUGACUUGGACAAUACUCUUAUGAUCUGAUCUCAAAUCAGGUAGGACUACCCGCUGAACUAAAGC